GUAAACAUUGCUAAUCUUCAUGGCACUUUUCCUUCUGAGCCUUAAUGAAGUCUCUCGAUAGAGCUCUUCAAGCAAUCACUACCAAUUCAAUGGCAGUUUGAAUAUGUCAUCCCACUGCCUUUGGCCUUCAUAGCUUCUGGCCCAGGAAAGGGAAGAAUUACAUGAAGACACAUGGAGAGGGGAGCCAAGGGGAGAGGUUCAGAAGAAACAAAGCCUGCUGAUAUCUUGAUCUUGGGGUCUAACCUCCAGAACGGUGAUGAAAUGUCUGUUAUUUAAGCCAUUCGGUCUGUGGUAUUGGUGACAACAGUCUAAGCAGACUAAUGCAAGCCCUGACACAGACUUUAUGCAAUUUAAUUCUCUUUUCUCAGUCAUGAUUUUCUCCUCUGUAAUAAGCUCUAAUUAUCAGUGAUGAAAAUUAAAUGUGUAAAUGUGUACAUUAUUGUUUAAAGACAAGUAAAGAAAACCAACACCC
Molecule: long non-coding RNA, 472 nt
Filed under: Homo sapiens (human)
Lineage: Eukaryota; Metazoa; Chordata; Mammalia; Primates; Hominidae
Description: HSALNT0361981
Source: RNAcentral